AGAACGAACGCUGGCGGUAGGCCUAACACAUGCAAGUCGAACGCUCUAGCAAUAGAGAGUGGCAGACGGGUGAGUAACGCGUGGGAACCUUCCUUAUAGUAAAGAAUAGCCCAGGGAAACUUGGAUUAAUACUUUAUACGCCCUACGGGGGAAAGAUUUAUCGCUAUAAGAUGGGCCCGCGUAAGAUUAGCUAGUUGGUGAGGUAAUGGCUCACCAAGGCUACGAUCUUUAGCUGGUUUGAGAGAAUGAUCAGCCACACUGGGACUGAGACACGGCCCAGACUCCUACGGGAGGCAGCAGUGGGGAAUCUUGCACAAUGGGCGAAAGCCUGAUGCAGCGACGCCGCGUGAGGGAAGAAGGCUUUCGGGUUGUAAACCUCUUUCAGGAGGGACGAAGCUACUCGGGUUAAUAGCCCAGAGGGUGACGGUACUUCCAGAAGAAGCCCCGGCUAACUACGUGCCAGCAGCCGC
This 470-nucleotide ribosomal RNA is filed under the name uncultured bacterium. RNAcentral's name for it is "SSU rRNA". It matches the Rfam family "Bacterial small subunit ribosomal RNA", at positions 26 to 518 of the family's 1533-position model. The record is from RNAcentral.